UACAGAGGGGGCAAGCGUUAUUCGGAAUUAUUGGGCGUAAAGGGCGCGUAGGCGGCCAUUCAAGUGACGGGUGAAAUCCCUCGGCUUAACCGAGGAACUGCCCUCCAAACUGCUUGGCUUGAGUCCGGGAGAGGUGAGUGGAAUUCCCAGUGUAGCGGUGAAAUGCGUAGAUAUUGGGAGGAACACCAGUGGCGAAGGCGGCUCACUGGACCGGAACUGACGCUGAGGCGCGAAAGCGUGGGGAGCAAACGGG
This 253-nucleotide ribosomal RNA is filed under the name uncultured bacterium. RNAcentral's name for it is "partial 16S ribosomal RNA". It matches the Rfam family "Bacterial small subunit ribosomal RNA", at positions 524 to 776 of the family's 1533-position model. The record is from RNAcentral.